GCGGAUGUGGUGAAAUUGGUAUACACGCCAGACUUAGGAUCUGGUGGCGCAAGCCGUGGGGGUUCGAUUCCCUUCAUCCGCA
RNAcentral lists this transfer RNA (82 nucleotides) under Rikenellaceae bacterium. RNAcentral describes it as "tRNA-Leu". It matches the Rfam family "tRNA". Rfam says of the family: Transfer RNA (tRNA) molecules are approximately 80 nucleotides in length. Their secondary structure includes four short double-helical elements and three loops (D, anti-codon, and T loops). Further hydrogen bonds mediate the characteristic L-shaped molecular structure. tRNAs have two regions of fundamental functional importance: the anti-codon, which is responsible for specific mRNA codon recognition, and the 3' end, to which the tRNAs corresponding amino acid is attached (by aminoacyl-tRNA synthetases). tRNAs cope with the degeneracy of the genetic code in two manners: having more than one tRNA (with a specific anti-codon) for a particular amino acid; and 'wobble' base-pairing, i.e. permitting non-standard base-pairing at the 3rd anti-codon position. The record is from RNAcentral. Lineage: Bacteria; Pseudomonadati; Bacteroidota; Bacteroidia; Bacteroidales; Rikenellaceae.